AAAGUCUGGUAGAAAUAAAUUUAUCACGCGUUACGACAAAGCCAAAUCUGUAGUUUGAUGUCGCGUGACAUUUUCAUGUUUAGCGGUUUUUUAGACGCGGAACGUAGCGAGGCGACGAAUCCAUUGGUUUUAGUGUACAGUGGGUUGUGCGGUUGUUUUUUUUUUCUCUGUGUGUAAAUAACUUUUCGAACCGAAAACUUGCUACAAAAUGUCAACCGUAACCAGCGGCGUGCCCGGAUGGGGAGGUUAGGGGUUAUGUCUCACCCACCACCCCCAUUGGCUUAAAAAAUACUAUCUA
This is a non-coding RNA of Cinara cedri, 298 nucleotides long. NCBI's taxonomy places the organism in Eukaryota, Metazoa, Arthropoda, Insecta, Hemiptera, Aphididae. The record is from the annotation of a GenBank genome assembly.